UUGAGACUUGAUUUCUUAGAGCUUCCUCCU
This 30-nucleotide non-coding RNA is filed under the name Rattus norvegicus (Norway rat). The record is from RNAcentral. Lineage: Eukaryota; Metazoa; Chordata; Mammalia; Rodentia; Muridae.